GGAGCUUGCUCCCUGAUGUUAGCGGCGGACGGGUGAGUAACACGUGGGUAACCUGCCUGUAAGACUGGGAUAACUCCGGGAAACCGGGGCUAAUACCGGAUGCUUGUUUGAACCGCAUGGUUCAAACAUAAAAGGUGGCUUCGGCUACCACUUACAGAUGGACCCGCGGCGCAUUAGCUAGUUGGUGAGGUAAUGGCUCACCAAGGCAACGAUGCGUAGCCGACCUGAGAGGGUGAUCGGCCACACUGGGACUGAGACACGGCCCAGACUCCUACGGGAGGCAGCAGUAGGGAAUCUUCCGCAAUGGACGAAAGUCUGACGGAGCAACGCCGCGUGAGUGAUGAAGGUUUUCGGAUCGUAAAGCUCUGUUGUUAGGGAAGAACAAGUACCGUUCGAAUAGGGCGGUACCUUGACGGUACCUAACCAGAAAGCCACGGCUAACUACGUGCCAGCAGCCGCGGUAAUACGUAGGUGGCAAGCGUUGUCCGGAAUUAUUGGGCGUAAAGGGCUCGCAGGCGGUUUCUUAAGUCUGAUGUGAAAGCCCCCGGCUCAACCGGGGGAGGGUCAUUGGAAACUGGG
Molecule: ribosomal RNA, 579 nt
Filed under: Bacillus sp. (in: firmicutes)
Lineage: Bacteria; Bacillati; Bacillota; Bacilli; Caryophanales; Bacillaceae
Description: bacterial SSU rRNA
Rfam family: Bacterial small subunit ribosomal RNA
Source: RNAcentral